RNAcentral lists this long non-coding RNA (1288 nucleotides) under Numida meleagris (helmeted guineafowl). RNAcentral's name for it is "lncRNA (ENSNMEG00000005950.1)". The record is from RNAcentral. Lineage: Eukaryota; Metazoa; Chordata; Aves; Galliformes; Numididae.
AUGUUCCCUUCUGGUAAAGACCAUGGAACAGGACGUUUCCAAAGGCAUGGUGAGGAUCUGUACCUCUUGAAAAAGGAAAGAGAGACAACACAGCAAAGGAUACUCUACAGUGAUUUGAGUCCAUGCAAAACUCCUGUAGUGCUGCAAGAAGCCAGAGAAAAGUUCUGGGAGAAAACAUCACAGAAGGGCACAGGGAAAUCAUCUUCACAGAAGAUAUUUAAGAUCUACCUUGUGCUAGAGUACAUUCCUCAGGGACCAUGGAUUGUGGAUGUCACUUGAGAAAUAUUUACAUCUGCAGUGAAGCUACAGUGGAAGCAGAAAUGCUGUGGUUCCACUACAGUAACGCUUUUUCAAGAAAAGCUGCAUUUAAAUGUCUUUCUUUAGAUGAACUUUGGAAGACCAGUACUCAUAUUAUAGAAUGGUGCUAAAACCAAAUUUUGCUAACUCAUUUUGAACUCUCUCUAGGAUGGGACAGGCUCACAAAGGAAAAUGAAUCAUUAAAGGUUUACCUCAUCUGGAGAAUAAUCUUCACAUAUCUGUAGAGAUCGGACGGAUCCUGAUGUGAUCUUGAAAUCUGAGUUAAUGUGGUCUCUUCAGGGAAUAUAGAUAGGUGUCAUUUGUGUAGACAGCACUCAAAAUAGUUGGGAUUUAAUAUUUAACACUAGCUGAUUGUACUAAAUGUGCUGUGAAAGUAAUCUUUAUGUUGGCCAAAUGCAGAACCAUUUGAGCAACAUCUCUCUCCUCAAAUAACAGACCAUGCCCCCCCAGCAGACCAAAACAAGCCAAACAAAGAAGAGCAGGGGGACAGGAAAGUGGUUUUUUUUUUUUUUUUUUUUUUUUUUUGGUGCUGCUCAACCCUGCCUAUCAGGAAGAUUCAUUUGCAAAACACAUUGUCCAGCUGACUGCUUCUUCUCUUUCUCCUCAUGAUUUGUGGGAAAAGGAGACAGCUCAUCUUUGACCUCACCUGUAUGUCCUCACCUUCCUGAGGAAGGUAACUUGAAGGUAACUUGAAGGUAACUUGAAGCUCGCCAUGGCUGAGGAAGUCUUUGAAUGAGAACAAUUUAUUUCAUUUGCAAAACAAAGGAAAUCCAUCCAGAGCUUAACUCAAUCCUGCUCAAAGAGAACAAAUCCUACAAAAACCUCUAUGGUUGAAAAAAUGCUGUGAUGGCUGCCAAGUCAGACACUAAGAAGUUACUAAAUAUUAAAAUGGAGUCUUCCUUAAUAUAAUUCUUGCAUGCAUGUAAUUGGGAUUUAACUUUCAAAUGAAUAAACACUAAUUGAGAAUGCA